ACCGAUACGCACGACUACGAAGUCAAAAUGCGCAACGUGUUUAAGUUUUUGGAAAACGGUGACAAGGUCAAGAUCACGCUGCGGUUCCGCGGCCGUGAGAUGGCCCACCAGAACUUGGGCCGCGAGCUUUUGGAACGUGUCGCCGAAGACACCAAAGACGCGGGCAAGGUCGAAAACAUGCCCAAGAUGGAAGGCCGCCAGAUGAUUAUGCUGAUCGGCCCGCUUCCAAAAUGAAGCACGUCUUGAUUGAGUGAAGAAGCGGCCCGGGGUAGUUCCGGGCCGUUUUUUGUUUAACCACUAAGAUUAGACAAACAUGCAGAACACGGCUCCAACUCAAGUCCUGC
RNAcentral lists this unclassified non-coding RNA (344 nucleotides) under Shimia gijangensis. Its description in RNAcentral is "Pseudopelagicola gijangensis Long range pseudoknot". Lineage: Bacteria; Pseudomonadati; Pseudomonadota; Alphaproteobacteria; Rhodobacterales; Roseobacteraceae. The record is from RNAcentral.